Molecule: ribosomal RNA, 253 nt
Filed under: uncultured bacterium
Lineage: Bacteria
Also listed under: 1 other name
Description: partial 16S ribosomal RNA
Rfam family: Bacterial small subunit ribosomal RNA
Source: RNAcentral
UACGAGGGGGGCAAGCGUUGUUCGGAAUUAUUGGGCGUAAAGGGUGCGUAGGCGGUUCAGCAAGUCUCGUGUGAAAUCUUCGGGCUCAACCCGAAGUCUGCACGGGAAACUACUGGGCUUGAGUAUGGGAGAGGUGAGUGGAAUUUCCGGUGUAGCGGUGAAAUGCGUAGAUAUCGGAAGGAACACCUGUGGCGAAAGCGGCUCACUGGACCAUAACUGACGCUGAUGCACGAAAGCUAGGGGAGCAAACAGG